RNAcentral lists this ribosomal RNA (497 nucleotides) under uncultured bacterium. Its description in RNAcentral is "partial 16S ribosomal RNA". It matches the Rfam family "Bacterial small subunit ribosomal RNA", at positions 28 to 507 of the family's 1533-position model. The record is from RNAcentral.
GAUGAACGCUGGCGGCGUGCCUAAUACAUGCAAGUCGAGCGAACAGACGAGGAGCUUGCUCCUCUGACGUUAGCGGCGGACGGUUGAGUAACACGUGGAUAACCUACCUAUAAGACUGGGAUAACUUCGGGAAACCGGAGCUAAUACCGGAUAAUAUAUUUAACCGCAUGGUUCAAUAGUGAAAGACGGUUUUGCUGUCACUUAUAGAUGGAUCCGCGCCGCAUUAGCUAGUUGGUAAGGUAACGGCUUACCAAGGCAACGAUGCGUAGCCGACCUGAGAGGGUGAUCGGCCACACUGGAACUGAGACACGGUCCAGACUCCUACGGGAGGCAGCAGUAGGGAAUCUUCCGCAAUGGGCGAAAGCCUGACGGAGCAACGCCGCGUGAGUGAUGAAGGUCUUCGGAUCGUAAAACUCUGUUAUUAGGGAAGAACAAAUGUGUAAGUAACUAUGCACGUCUUGACGGUACCUAAUCAGAAAGCCACGGCUAACUACGUG